RNAcentral lists this ribosomal RNA (117 nucleotides) under Leptolyngbya sp. IPPAS B-1204. The record is from RNAcentral. Lineage: Bacteria; Bacillati; Cyanobacteriota; Cyanophyceae; Leptolyngbyales; Leptolyngbyaceae.
CCUGGUGCCUAUGGCGGUGUGGACCCACACUCAUCCAUCCCGAACUGAGUGGUGAAACGCACCCGCGGCGAAGAUAGUUGGAGGGCUGCCUCCCGCAAAAAUAGCUCGGUGCCAGGU